Molecule: ribosomal RNA, 253 nt
Filed under: uncultured bacterium
Lineage: Bacteria
Description: partial 16S ribosomal RNA
Rfam family: Bacterial small subunit ribosomal RNA
Source: RNAcentral
GACGAACCGUGCGAACGUUAUUCGGAAUCACUGGGCUUAAAGGGUGCGUAGGCUGCGAGGAGGGUGGGGUGUGAAAUCCCUCGGCUUAACCGAGGAAUUGCGCUCCAAACCGCCUUGCUGGAGUGAGACAGAGGUGAGCGGAACUAAUGGUGUAGCGGUGGAAUGCGCAGAUAUCAGGAGGAACACCGAUGGCGAAGGCAGGUCACUGGGCCGCAACUGACGCUGAGGAGCGAAAGCAUGGGGAGCGAACAGG